UGAGUGAAUGUGGUUGUAAUGUAAGUGAGUGAGUGAAUGUGGCUGUAAUGUAAGUGUGUAGUGAGUGAGUGAGUGAGUGAAUGUGGUUGUAAUGUAAGUGAGUGAGUGAAUGUUUGAAUGUGGUUGUAAUGUAAGUGAGUGAGUGAAUGUGGCUGUAAUGUAAGUGUGUAUUGAGUGAGUGAAUGUGGUUGUAAUGUGAGUGAGUGAGUGAAUGUAGUUGUAAUGUAAGUGAGUGAGUGAAUGUUGUUGCAAUGUAAGUGAUUGAGUGAGUGAGUGAAUGAGUGAAUGUGGUUGUAAUGUAAGUGUGUAUUGAGUGACUGAGUGAAUGAAUGUAGUUGUAAUGUAAGUGUGUAGUGAGUGAGUGAGUGAAUGAAUGUAGUUGUAAUGUAAGUGUGUAGUGAUUGAAUGUGUGAAUGUGGUUGUAAUGUAAGUGAGUGAGUGAAUGUGGUUGUAAUUAGUAAUGUAAGUGUGUAGCAGGUCUGACCUGACUCUCAGCUUGAUGAUGAUCAGCAGGAAAAUCACGAAAGUAAGGGGAAAGAGCGCCCCCCCACAGGACUAGCAUGGCCACUCCAACUGAAUCACCUGCUUAAAAUCACAAGUAAAGACAAGCCACUUCAAUUCACAUCCAUCCAGCUC
This is a long non-coding RNA of Clupea harengus (Atlantic herring), 636 nucleotides long. Lineage: Eukaryota; Metazoa; Chordata; Actinopteri; Clupeiformes; Clupeidae. The record is from Ensembl.